This 227-nucleotide ribosomal RNA is filed under the name uncultured bacterium. RNAcentral describes it as "partial 16S ribosomal RNA". It matches the Rfam family "Bacterial small subunit ribosomal RNA", at positions 115 to 334 of the family's 1533-position model. The record is from RNAcentral.
CCGUGGGUAACCUACCUCAUAGUGGGGGAUAACAGUCGGAAACGACUGCUAAUACCGCAUAGGACAUGGGAUCACAUGAUUCCGUGAGGAAAGGGUGGCGCAAGCUAUCGCUAAGAGAUGGACCCGCGGUGCAUUAGCUAGUUGGUAGGGUAACGGCCUACCAAGGCAAUGAUGCAUAGCCGACCUGAGAGGGUGAUCGGCCACAUUGGGACUGAGACACGGCCCAA